AUAAGAUAUCAAGGGCAACAGGUGAAUGCCUUGGCGCUGAGAGGCGAUGAAAGACGCGGUAAGCUGCGAUAAGCAUCGGGGAGGAGCUAAACAUCCUACGAUCCGAUGAUUUCUGAAUGGGGAAACCCGAUGGGAGUCAUGUCCCAUCAUCCUGAGCUGAAUAUAUAGGCCCAGAGAAGCCAACCCGGGGAAGUGAAACAUCUCAGUACCCGGAGGAAGAGAAAUCAAACGAGACUCCCAAAGUAGCGGCGAGCGAAAUGGGAAGAGCCCAAACCGAGUGGUUUCGACCAUUCGGGGUUGUAGGGCCGGCAUACGCGAUUCUGGAGUAGGCAGAGGAAGUGAGCUGGAAAGCUCCGCCACAGCGGGUGAUAGCCCCGUACUCGAAACCGAAAAGGACGCAGCCGGUACCUGAGUACUGCGAGGCACGUGGAACCUCGUGGGAAUCUAGGGGGACCAUCCUCUAAGGCUAAGUACUCCUCAGCGACCGAUAGUGAACUAGUACCGUGAGGGAAAGGUGAAAAGAACCCCUGUUAGGGGAGUGAAAUAGAAUCUGAAACCUGUUGCCUACAAGCUGCGAGAGCUACUUCGGUAGUGAUCGCGUGCCUUUUGUAUAAUGAGUCAGCGAGUUACUCUACCGUGCGAGGUUAAGCGAAAGCGUAGCCGUAGUGAAAGCGAGGCUUAAUAGGCCGACUAGUACGUUGGAGUAGACCCGAAACCGGGUGAUCUAUCCAUGAGCAGGUUGAAGCAAGGGUAAAGCCUUGUGGAGGACCGAACCGUCAACGGCUGAAAACGUUCCGGAUGACUUGUGGAUAGGGGUGAAAGGUCAAUCAAACCCGGUGAUAGCUGGUUCUCCCCGAAAUAUAUUGAGGUAUAGCCUCGGGAAUUGAUUAGCGGAGGUAAAGCACUGACAGAGCUAGGGGUCCUACCAGAUUACCAAACUCUAUCAAACUCAGAAUGCCGCUUAAUUGUAUCCCGGGAGUCAGACGGCGGGUGCGAAGGUUCGUCGUCAAAAGGGAAACAGCCCAGACCAACAGCUAAGGUCUCCAAAUCCAUGCUCAGUGGUGAAGGUAGUGGAACCGUUUAGACAGCCAGGACGUUGGCUUAGAAGCAGCCAUCGUUUAAAGAAAGCGUAAUAGCUCACUGGUCUAAUGGCUCUGCGCCGAAAAUGUAACGGGGCUAAGCAUGGUACCGAAGCUUUGGCAAUCUCCUUUGGAGAUUGGGUAGGGGAGCGUUCGCUGCGGGCUGAAGGUGUAUCGGAAGGUAUGCUGGACUGCAGUGAAGUGAUUAUGCUGACAUGAGUAACGAUAAAAUAUGUGAAAAACAUAUUCGCCGAAAACCCGAGGUUUCCUGGGUAAAGGUAAUCUUCCCAGGGUUAGUCGGAUCCUAAGGUGAGGGUGAAAGCCGUAACCGAUGGAAAACAGGUUAAUAUUCCUGUACUUGUUGUGUAGCGCGAUGGAGGGACGCAGGAAGAUAGGCGGGCCGGGUGUUGGAUAUCCCGGUGCAAGCGUGUAGGAAUAUCCGGUAGGCAAAUCCGCCGGACGAAUCUGAGACGCGAGUCCGUGGGCGCAAGCCCUGAAGCCGUUGAGUCUAUGCUGCCUAGAAAAGCUCCUAAGUUUAUCCACAGCAAUCCGUACCGCAAACCAACUCAGGUGGGUGGGAUGAACAAUCCAAGGCGCUCGAGAGAACUCUGGCCAAGGAACUCGGCAAAAUAACCCCGUAACUUCGGAAGAAGGGGUGCUCUCUAGGGUGACAUGUUUAACAUAUGAAGCCCCGGGGAGCCGCAGUGAAUUGGUGGUGGCGACUGUUUACUAAAAACAUAGGUCUGUGCGAAGUCCUAAAGACGACGUAUACGGACUGACGCCUGCCCGGUGCUGGAAGGUUAAAAGGAGGGGUCAGCGCAAGCAAAGCUCCGAAUUGAAGCCCCAGUAAACGGCGGCCGUAACUAUAACGGUCCUAAGGUAGCGAAAUUCCUUGUCGGGUAAGUUCCG
Molecule: ribosomal RNA, 1988 nt
Filed under: human gut metagenome
Description: bacterial LSU rRNA
Rfam family: Bacterial large subunit ribosomal RNA
Source: RNAcentral